UACGAAGGGGGCUAGCGUUGCUCGGAAUUACUGGGCGUAAAGCGCGCGUAGGCGGCUCGGCAAGUCGGGCGUGAAAUGCCGGGGCUCAACCCCGGGACUGCGUCCGAUACUUCCGAGCUGGAGGUAGGUAGGGGAGAUCGGAAUUCCUGGUGUAGCGGUGAAAUGCGCAGAUAUCAGGAGGAACACCGGUGGCGAAGGCGGAUCUCUGGGCCUUACCUGACGCUGAGGCGCGAAAGCUAGGGGAGCGAACAGG
Molecule: ribosomal RNA, 253 nt
Filed under: uncultured bacterium
Lineage: Bacteria
Description: partial 16S ribosomal RNA
Rfam family: Bacterial small subunit ribosomal RNA
Source: RNAcentral